RNAcentral lists this non-coding RNA (24 nucleotides) under Arabidopsis thaliana (thale cress). Lineage: Eukaryota; Viridiplantae; Streptophyta; Magnoliopsida; Brassicales; Brassicaceae. The record is from RNAcentral.
CGGUCGGUUGGUCGGACGGUUGGU